AGUGAACGCUGGCGGUAGGCCUAACACAUGCAAGUCGAACGGCAGCACAGGAGAGCUUGCUCUCUGGGUGGCGAGUGGCGGACGGGUGAGGAAUACAUCGGAAUCUACUCUGUCGUGGGGGAUAACGUAGGGAAACUUACGCUAAUACCGCAUACGACCUACGGGUGAAAGCAGGGGAUCUUCGGACCUUGCGCGAUUGAAUGAGUCGAUGUCGGAUUAGCUAGUUGGCGGGGUAAAGGCCCACCAAGGCGACGAUCCGUAGCUGGUCUGAGAGGAUGAUCAGCCACACUGGAACUGAGACGCGGUCCAGACUCCUACGGGAGGCAGCAGUGGGGGAUAUUGGACAAUGGGCGCAAGCCUGAUCCAGCCAUACCGCGUGGGUGAAGAAGGCCUUCGGGUUGUAAAGCCCUUUUGUUGGGAAAGAAAUCCAGCUGGCUAAUACCCGGUUGGGAUGACGGUACCCAAAGAAUAAGCACCGGCUAACUUCGUGCCAGCCGCCGCCGUAA
This 506-nucleotide ribosomal RNA is filed under the name uncultured bacterium. Its description in RNAcentral is "partial 16S ribosomal RNA". It matches the Rfam family "Bacterial small subunit ribosomal RNA", at positions 29 to 523 of the family's 1533-position model. The record is from RNAcentral.